GACGAACGCUGGCGGCGUGCUUAACACAUGCAAGUCGAACGGAAAGGCCCUGCUUGCAGGGUACUCGAGUGGCGAACGGGUGAGUAACACGUGGGUGAUCUGCCCUGCACUUCGGGAUAAGCCUGGGAAACUGGGUCUAAUACCGGAUAGGAGCCAUUUUUAGUGUGAUGGUUGGAAAGUUUUUUCGGUGUAGGAUGAGCUCGCGGCCUAUCAGCUUGUUGGUGGGGUAAUGGCCUACCAAGGCGGCGACGGGUAGCCGGCCUGAGAGGGUGGACGGCCACAUUGGGACUGAGAUACGGCCCAGACUCCGACGGGAGGCAGCAGGGGGGAAUAUUGCACAAUGGGCGCAAGCCUGAUGCAGCGACGCCGCGGGGGGGAUGACGGCCUUCGGGUUGUAAACUCCUUUCGCUAGGGACGAAGCUUUUUGUGACGGUACCUAGAGAAGAAGCACCGGCUAACUACGUG
This 465-nucleotide ribosomal RNA is filed under the name uncultured bacterium. RNAcentral describes it as "partial 16S ribosomal RNA". It matches the Rfam family "Bacterial small subunit ribosomal RNA", at positions 28 to 507 of the family's 1533-position model. The record is from RNAcentral.